RNAcentral lists this ribosomal RNA (253 nucleotides) under uncultured bacterium. RNAcentral describes it as "partial 16S ribosomal RNA". It matches the Rfam family "Bacterial small subunit ribosomal RNA", at positions 524 to 776 of the family's 1533-position model. The record is from RNAcentral.
UACGUAGGGUGCAAGCGUUGUCCGGAAUUAUUGGGCGUAAAGAGCGUGUAGGCGGCCCGAUUAGUCCGCUGUGAAAGCCCAGGGCUCAACCCUGGAAUGCCGGUGGAUACUGUCGGGCUCGAGUCCGGAAGAGGCGAGUGGAAUUCCUGGUGUAGCGGUGGAAUGCGCAGAUAUCAGGAGGAACACCGAUAGCGAAGGCAGCUCGCUGGGACGGUACUGACGCUGAGGUGCGAAAGCGUGGGGAGCGAACAGG